AAACCCACUGUUUUACUCUCCCAAAAAUCAGCCCUAAUAAUGUCUAUUUUCAAUUACUUCCCUCUUAACUCUUAGAUUUCUCUCUCCCUUGUCUGUUGCUUCACAUUUCUUUCAUUCUUAUCUUUUUCAUCUUCAUGUGACUGGUGGAUGCGACCUGAUUGGUAUCAUUGGCACGAACAUAAAAAAGGCAGACCUCUUCCUCGCUAUACCAGAAGAGGCACGAAAAUGGUAUUGCAUCCGCCUACUUGCUCGAACCCAUUAGAUUGACCACUUAAUAUUUCAACCCAAAAAUAUAUAUUUUGUGAAUUUAUUUUUUGGAAUGGCCACCGCUUGCCUUGUGAUUUUGAUUCUAAAAGAGCUUAAAUAAUGAGGGAGGAUGGUGAUGAAUGACUAUGAUGAAUGGAGAUGAAUGAUGAA
This is a long non-coding RNA of Benincasa hispida (wax gourd), 417 nucleotides long. RefSeq lists it as uncharacterized. The record is from RefSeq and is a predicted model, not a curated record. NCBI's taxonomy places the organism in Eukaryota, Viridiplantae, Streptophyta, Magnoliopsida, Cucurbitales, Cucurbitaceae.